UCAUGUUUGAUAUGUAAUAUUCAGGGUUAUUUGCAUACACUGAUAUUUGAUAAAAUGGGAAUCAUGUUCAGCUGUCACGGCUCAGUCUGUGCCUCCAUGUUGUAAAGUUAGUUGAGUCCCUUCGCUGUUUGCGAAUUACGAUGGUAGAUAACAUGUGUCGAUGAGUGUCAGCGAGGAAAGGGAGAUCACUCUAGCGACAUGUACAAGGAGCAGACGGCAUCGGCGGACAUGAGGGAGGACGUCGUGUUGUAAGAUAGAAAGAUUCACUGCUGUGGCCAUUUCUUCAAGCGGACUGCAAUGGACUGACUUUGAUCCUCGUGUACAAGAAGCUGAGGAAGAACAAUUUUUUCCAGAAAUUUGAACAUGAUGUCCGCUACCACGUGACUCUGAUGUCCGCUACAGUUGCUGGUACACAGACGGCUGAGAAAUUAACUUCAGUCCAUGGACUACAGCCUCAGUGUGUGAGCGUUGUUCACCAGUGACCUUGUGAGUACCCGCUGAACUAUUAUUCUUCAGGUCCGGCUGACUGUUGAUUGAAAACAAAUAAAAAUUCUAU
Long non-coding RNA from Pomacea canaliculata, 556 nucleotides. RefSeq lists it as uncharacterized. NCBI's taxonomy places the organism in Eukaryota, Metazoa, Mollusca, Gastropoda, Architaenioglossa, Ampullariidae. The transcript has 3 exons. The record is from RefSeq and is a predicted model, not a curated record.